This 1244-nucleotide long non-coding RNA is filed under the name Equus asinus (donkey). Its description in RNAcentral is "lncRNA (ENSEASG00005026307.1)". Lineage: Eukaryota; Metazoa; Chordata; Mammalia; Perissodactyla; Equidae. The record is from RNAcentral.
CGGGCCUCUGCUCCUCCUCACUGGCAGAUUCUUCCUAUGACUGAUGAUUUGUUAUGAUGGCCUUGUUAUGCCAACGACAUCGACAGAGACCCAUUCUGUUCGACGCUCACAGGCUGUUUUUCAAGGGUUCUUCAUCUUCCAAACGCCACCGAAUCCUCCUGCUUCUGCCCGGGCCAGUGAGGGGCCCAGCCCGCAGAGAGGGAGCGGCUCCGGGAGACCCUCAGCCUGCCGCCUGGUGGCCCAGGAGCCCACCCCCACCUGCACGCCUCCCGAGGAGCCCUGUCUCGCCCUCGAACCUGUCAGGGCUGAGGCGGGCUGCAAGUCACAGCUGCAGGCUCUGUUGCUUGGCCCUGACUCAGUUUCCACCCAGACGUCCUCUCCCUACCCCUCGGGCCUUCCUACACUUUCAUGGGCCUCCCAGUCAGCAGCCUAAAGGGAUGCCCCUGCCCUUCCCGCCCCAGGGCAGAGGAGCCCAGCGCUGGCAGCUCUGAAUAAGAGCACGGGGGCUGCGUGGGCGCGGUGGGGGUGUGGGGACUGGCCCCUGCCCAGAGCCCCCUGGGGGCUUCGCACCUUCCUCCCUGGGACAGCCCUGUCGCUCAGGAUGAGAGGACCCCGUUUCUCUCGGAGGACAGGACAGACGUGAAGGGUUUUGCAGAGCUGCUUCAAAGUGAUGGUGAUGGUGAUAAUGCUAUAAUGAUAAUUACCAUUAUUAUAGCAUGAUCACGACUGGCAUUGACCCAAAAUGUCUACGCAAAUAAUCCAUAACCAGCCUAUCAGUGAAAACUGGGGUGAGUUUAUCAGGAGCCAGAGUGAGGGUGAGGCGUUCGGAGAGCAUGGCUGUCAGAACGGUCUCGUCUCCUUUCGGAACAAGCAGCACACGUCAAACACACCAGGAUACGUUGCCAUCAGAACGUCACAGAGGCCUUCAGAGGCGCAGCAGCAGGUCACCAGGACCCUGCUGAGAGGACCAGGCCUCCCCCAGAGGGCGCGGGAGGGGGCGGCUGCAUCCUCGUGUGAAGAGAGCGCAGUCCGGACUCACUGGUCAAGCAGACGCACGUCUCGGGUUGACAGGCAGUGAGUCAGGCUUUCAGUUCAAGCCGAGUCAGUUUAGAAGCCGAACAGUCGCCCCUUAGCCCUCGCUGUGUGACGCUCUCCCGUGCGCACUUAGCACAGACCCGGCCCCGUCUACUGGCUUUCCAAUCAUUCACGCUUUCGAUCCUCACUCCGUCCAAGGAGGACAGUGG